Molecule: ribosomal RNA, 301 nt
Filed under: uncultured bacterium
Lineage: Bacteria
Description: partial 16S ribosomal RNA
Rfam family: Bacterial small subunit ribosomal RNA
Source: RNAcentral
CAGUAGCCGCGGGAAUACGUAGGUGGCAAGCGUUGUCCGGAAUUAUUGGGCGUAAAGGGCUCGCAGGCGGUUUCUUAAGUCUGAUGUGAAAGCCCCCGGCUCAACCGGGGAGGGUCAUUGGAAACUGGGAAACUUGAGUGCAGAAGAGGAGAGUGGAAUUCCACGUGUAGCGGUGAAAUGCGUAGAGAUGUGGAGGAACUCCAGUGGCGAAGGCGACUCUCUGGUCUGUAACUGACGCUGAGGAGCGAGAGCGUGGGGAGCGAACAGGAUUAGAGACCCCUGUAGUCCCUGUCUCUUAUAC